GGUCAACACACUAGUCAAAUUCUCCAAUCAAUUUAAGUGGGGAACAAUGGAAGUCAAUUCGGUCACUAGUGUCAAUUCGAUUAAUGGUUUCGAUCAAGUGGGGUUUAAGGCUAAAAUUAUCACGAUAACAGCAGCACAAGAUUUUAAUUGAUGCAAUUUUAAAAAUGAAGCAGUAGUAUAAACUAAUACUAAAUAGAGAUCAAGGACUCCCUGUUGUUUAGUUUUGAUUAUUUGUAUGCCGAUUGAUCUGAAUUGCCAACUUAUGAGCCCCAACUAUGCUUCUGUUCUUCCCUUCGUGUCCAAUGGUUUUAGCCCCUGUUGACUGUAACUUGUGCUGGUUCUUGUGUGAACGUAAAACUGAGUGUGGUGACUAUGGCUUUUAGAUUGUUGAGAUGGACGAGGAAAUAUAUGAGUGUGGUAACUGUGGUGGAAAUGUAUGAUCUUGGGUUGGUGGUGGUGGCCUAUGGCAAUGAAGCGGUAGUGCUUUGGAUGCCUGAGUACAAUAGAUAAUGAAGUGGUGGCGUGAUGGUGAUUAGAGGCGCCGGCGGCAAGAGAGUGGUUGUGAGAGAGGAAUCGGGUGAAAGUGUGGGGUACUUGAUAUAAAUGAAUUGGUUAUAAUCGAGCUUGGUCGGAUAUUUGGGACUGGGCCAGAUGGGAAGGGGUUUGGAUCCUGUUAUAGAGAUGGGCCAGCUGGGGUUAGUGUUUGGGGAGUGGGCCUGGGUCGUAGAGAGUAGGCUGGGUUAGUUGGGCUAAAUGUAAUUGGACCGUGUGUAAGUAGGAUUGAAUGUUAGGAUUAGAAUUUGUGAAACAACACUACAAUUGUAUAGAAGAAACAGUAGCAAACGAGAUUUUUUUUUUUUUUUUGGGUGGGGGGAGAACUGAAAUUGCAGGAAAAACCUAAACUGAAAUUUCCG
This 914-nucleotide long non-coding RNA is filed under the name Olea europaea subsp. europaea. Lineage: Eukaryota; Viridiplantae; Streptophyta; Magnoliopsida; Lamiales; Oleaceae. The record is from RNAcentral.